RNAcentral lists this ribosomal RNA (492 nucleotides) under uncultured bacterium. Its description in RNAcentral is "partial 16S ribosomal RNA". It matches the Rfam family "Bacterial small subunit ribosomal RNA", at positions 29 to 507 of the family's 1533-position model. The record is from RNAcentral.
AGUGAACGCUGGCGGCAUGCCUAACACAUGCAAGUCGAACGGCAGCACAGGAAGAUCUUGCUCUUACGGGUGGCGACUGGCGGAUGGGUGACGAAUACAUCGCCAUCUACUUUUUCUUGGGGGAUAACGUAGGGAAACUUCCGCUACUACCGCAUACGAUCUACGGGUGAAAUCAGGGGAUCUUCGGACCUUGCCCGUUUGAAUGAGCCGAUGCCGCAUUAGCUAGUUGGCUAGGUAACGGCCCACCAAGGCGACGAUCCGUAGCUGGCCUGAGAGGAUGAUCAGCCACACUGGAACUGAGACACGGUCCAGACUCCUACGGGAGGCAGCAGUGGGGAAUAUUGGACAAUGGGCGAAAGCCUGAUGCAGCAAUGCCGCGUGGGUGAAGAAGGUCUUCGGGUUGUAAAGCCCUUUUGUUAGGGAAGAAAAGCUGCAGAAUAAAACCCGGAUGUUCUGACGGUACCCAAAGAGUAAGCAACGGCUAACUACGUG